Molecule: ribosomal RNA, 406 nt
Filed under: uncultured bacterium
Lineage: Bacteria
Description: partial 16S ribosomal RNA
Rfam family: Bacterial small subunit ribosomal RNA
Source: RNAcentral
AUUGAACGCUGGCGGCAGGCCUAACACAUGCAAGUCGAACGAGUGGCGGACGGGUGAGUAAUGUCUGGGAAACUGCCCGAUGGCGGGGGAUAACUACUGGAAACGGUAGCUAAUACCGCAUACCAUCGGAUGUGCCCAGAUGGGAUUAGCUAGUCGGUGGGGUAACGGGUAACCUAGGCGACGAUCCCUAGCUGGUCUGAGAGGAUGACCAGCCACACGGGAAGGGAGACACGGUCGAGACUCCUACGGGAGUCAGCAGUGGGGAAUAUUGCCCAAUGGGCGCAAGCCUGAUACAGCCGUGCCGGGUGUAUUAAGAAGGCCUUCGGGUUGUAAAGUACUUUCGGCGAGGAGGCGUUACUCGCAGAAGAAGCACCGGCUAACUCCGUGCCAGCAGCCGCGGUAAUAC